GGAGGUAAAAGUCGUAACAAGGUUUCCGUAGGUGAACCUGCGGAAGGAUCAUUAAAAAUGAAGCCGGGAAACCGGUCCUUCUAACCCUUGAUUAUCUUAAUUUGUUGCUUUGGUGGGCCGCGCAAGCACCGGCUUCGGCUGGAUCGUGCCCGCCAGAGGACACAACUCUGUAUCAGAUGUCGUCUGAGUACUAUAAAAUAGUUAAAACUUUCAACAACGGAUCUCUUGGUUCUG
This 234-nucleotide unclassified non-coding RNA is filed under the name plant metagenome. RNAcentral describes it as "partial contains small subunit ribosomal RNA, internal transcribed spacer 1, and 5.8S ribosomal RNA". The stretch from base 1 to 54 matches the Rfam family "Eukaryotic small subunit ribosomal RNA", at positions 1778 to 1831 of the family's 1831-position model. The record is from RNAcentral.